UACAACCAAGUAUAUACCCUUGACCAGAAUCAAACCUGGGACCCUUUGGUCCACAGGCUGACACUCUAUUCACUGAGCCAAACCAGCUAAAGCUUGUGCUUUGUUUUGUUUGUUGUCUUAUCAUUGACCUGUAUAAGAAUGUUCCUUUUGGUUUUUACAUUUGAGGUAAUGUAUAUUUAUUUAUUUACUAGUGGCCCGGUGCAUGAAUUCAUGCAUGGGUGGGGUUCCCAGGGGGUGGGAUUCGGCCAGGACAUGACUGACCCUCCUGGUGGGUGGUGGGAUGCCCUUGCCGGCCCUGGAUCCAGAGCCAUCCCACUGACAUUGGUGCUGGUUGUUGGGAGCUACCUAGCAGCUGGCCACUUUUAUAUUGUUUCUGCAUUGUGGAGCGGAGUGUCUACGGAGGGGAAGUGGCCACGAUGACUGAGGCAGACUUCUAGGAAGCCAGCAGUGCUGUCGGGAUCAUGCCAGCAGUGCUGGUCCAUCGGUGCCUGGCCUGUUCUCCAGAGAUUGGACCUGUAGGACUACUGAGAGAAGAGAGUGAAAGAGAGAGGGAAAGACAGAGAGAAAUAUCGAUGUGAGAGAAACAUCAAUUGGUAGCCGCUUGCACCGACCCUGACCAAGGUCGGGGCCAGGGAGGCUCCUGAAACUGAGGAGCUCAGAGCGCCAUUCGAAAUCGCACGGCACCAUCCACCCUUGGUCUGGCCCUGCCUCCCUCUCUGGCCCUUGAAGCAGCUGCAGCCGCUGCUGAUCAGGCCCUCCCCCAGUGCAGAUUUGACCAUCUGAUCGAUGUGCUUCUCUGUCUCUGGAUCUGUUUUUGUUCAUCACAACCUUCCCCAAAUCUGGCAGUCCUGCUGUGUCUCAGCUGGGUGAGUAGUGCCACUCCUGUCCAGGGGAACUGAGAACCCAAUUGCUUUUAUGCUCAUGACAUUGACCUCUGUUUUCAGUCACCUCAAUAAAUUAAGACCCAGCACAGAACAAGUGGCACCAGGUUUGAAGUCACAGCUGAGACAGAAGUACCUACUCAUCAUAUUUUCCAAAGGAAGAAAAAUCUUUAUGAACCAAUCUGCACCAAUAUGGCUUAAGAAAAAAUAAUAAGUGAUCAUGGAAAACAAUGAUCAAUUAUGAGUGAGCAACCACUUGCCUUCCUGGAUGAAUCACAACUAAACCAAUUUAUUGAUUUACAAUCACAAAAUAAAAAUAUAUCUUAUUGAAAA
Molecule: long non-coding RNA, 1214 nt
Organism: Myotis myotis
Lineage: Eukaryota; Metazoa; Chordata; Mammalia; Chiroptera; Vespertilionidae
Exons: 5
Source: RefSeq, a predicted model, not a curated record